CUUUCAAUGCCGGCGACCGGCGCACGGGNUGCGUAACGNGAUAUCAAACCUGCCUCAUACUCGGGGAUAGCCUUGCGAAAGUAAGAUUAAUACCCGAUGUUGUUGCUUUCUCGCAUGGGAGGGUAACCAAAGAUUUAUCGGUAUGAGAUGGUGAUGCGUCCGAUUAGGUAGUAGGCGGGGUAACGGCCCACCUAGCCUUCGAUCGGUAGGGGUUCUGAGAGGAAGGUCCCCCACACUGGAACUGAGACACGGUCCAGACUCCUACGGGAGGCAGCAGUGAGGAAUAUUGGUCAAUGGGCGAGAGCCUGAACCAGCCAAGUAGCGUGCAGGAUGACGGCCCUCCGGGUUGUAAACUGCUUUUAGUUGGGAAUAAAAAAAGGGACUUGUCCCUUCUUGUAUGUACCUUCAGAAAAAGGACCGGCUAAUUCCGUGCCAGCAGCCGCGGUAAUACGGAAGGUCCAGGCGUUAUCCGGAUUUAUUGGGUUUAAAGGGAGCGUAGGCGGAUUGUUAAGUCAGCGGUUAAAGGGUGUGGCUCAACCAUGCAUUGCCGUUGAAACUGGCGAUCUUGAGUGCAGACAGGGAUGCCGGAAUUCNUGGUGUAGCGGUGAAAUGCUUANAUAUCAC
RNAcentral lists this ribosomal RNA (624 nucleotides) under Prevotella sp. C990. RNAcentral's name for it is "bacterial SSU rRNA". It matches the Rfam family "Bacterial small subunit ribosomal RNA", at positions 79 to 700 of the family's 1533-position model. Lineage: Bacteria; Pseudomonadati; Bacteroidota; Bacteroidia; Bacteroidales; Prevotellaceae. The record is from RNAcentral.